Molecule: ribosomal RNA, 504 nt
Filed under: uncultured Pseudomonadota bacterium
Lineage: Bacteria; Pseudomonadati; Pseudomonadota
Description: bacterial SSU rRNA
Rfam family: Bacterial small subunit ribosomal RNA
Source: RNAcentral
CGAAGCCUGAUCCAGCAAUGCCGCGUGAGUGAUGAAGGCCUUCGGGUUGUAAAGCUCUUUCGCACGCGACGAUGAUGACGGUAGCGUGAGAAGAAGCCCCGGCUAACUUCGUGCCAACAGCCGCGGUAAUACGAAGGGGGCUAGCGUUGUUCGGAAUUACUGGGCGUAAAGGGCGCGUAGGCGGUGUGUCAAGUCAGGCGUGAAACGCCCCGGGCUCAACCGUGGGGACCGCGCUUGAGACUGGCACGCUAGAGUUCGGGAGAGGAUGGUGGAAUUCCCAGUGUAGAGGUGAAAUUCGUAGAUAUUGGGAAGAACACCGAUGGCGAAGGCAGCCAUCUGGACCGACACUGACGCUGAGGCGCGAAAGCGUGGGGAGCAAACAGGAUUAGAUACCCUGGUAGUCCACGCCGUAAACGAUGAGUGCUAGACGUUGGGGCCCUUAGGGCUUCGGUGUCGCAGCUAACGCGUUAAGCACUCCGCCUGAGGAGUACGGCCGCAAGGUUA